AAGUUCCUCCAGGGCUUAUGGUGUGUGCUUCUCUCCACAGCUGGGCCCCAACGUCUCCAUCGGGAAGGGGGUGACCGUGGGUGAGGGUGUGCGGCUCCGGGAGAGCAUUGUCCUCCAUGGAGCCACUUUGCAGGAGCACACGUGUGUUCUGCAUAGCAUCGUGGGCUGGGGGAGCACCGUGGGACGCUGGGCCCGCGUGGAGGGUACCCCCAAUGACCCCAACCCCAACGAUCCCCGAGCCCGCAUGGACAGUGAGAGCCUCUUCAAAGACGGGAAGCUGCUGCCUGCCAUCACCAUCCUGG
RNAcentral lists this small RNA (302 nucleotides) under Pongo abelii (Sumatran orangutan). Its description in RNAcentral is "retained intron". The record is from RNAcentral. Lineage: Eukaryota; Metazoa; Chordata; Mammalia; Primates; Hominidae.